UCAAGAUGUAUCUUUCGUGCAGAUGUAUCAAGAUGUACCUUUCACUUAAGAUCCAUGCAGGCACAAGCUUUGGAUGAACUUCUGCUUCUGCGGUCAGCAUUCUUACAGGAGAACCCAAGAUUCACUGUACCUGUAUGCAUUUCAAAACUGAAUAAUUGAUAGCAACAAGUCAAUGUUUGAAGUUGCAGCCAAAUGCUGUGCCUUCUCUGCUGCAAGAGCUACAUGUCACCAUUGAAGCAAGGACCAGCUCGACUCCUGCAGUAGGAGUCCAGCCUCGUCCAGUCGUCGCCGCUCGCCAAGACCAGCCGGACUCCUGCAAUAGGGGUCCAGGCUGACCCGUUCGUCCAGUAACCGCCGCUCGUCAGCACCAGCUGGGCUCCUGUAGUAGGGGUCCAGCCUCGUCCAGUCGCAGCCGCUCGCCAAGACCAGCUGGGCUCCUGUAGUAUGGGGCUAGGAUGGCCCGUUCAUCAACCGGUCCUGAAGUCACAUCGCUGUCAGCCAGCCGAACUCAGUACAUAAGUCACCAACCCUGAAUGUUGCCAGCCAAAGUCGGCAGUUUCCUUCGGACAGUCAUCUCACCAGUGUUGUACAGUGUACGAGGUUAGUGACGCAGUUAAAUGCGUCAAUUAAAUGCGAGGACGUGCGCUUGUAUGCAGCGUUUUGUCAUGUUGAGCUGCAUGGGUGUCGAUUUUCACCGAAUUGAGGGUGCCCACUGCCCGGGCGCAGCAAAUCCGCCGCCGCCUCAGCGGUGACCUUGACCCGCACCGUCUGUUGGGGCUCCAAAGCCAAGCCAGCCGAGCCGGCGGGGAAUUUAAAGAGCUUGAGCACCCCCAACCCGGCGGAAAUUGACACCUAUGUUGAGCUGUAUGGAUGCGUUUUAGCCUUCCGCCGUGGUGGUAAAUAGCAGCCUACAUGCAGAAUUAGGCAGGCUUAUUGGCGGGCUCAUUAUUGGAUUCAUUGUGUCACGUUUGUCGGCACGUGUAAGAUGUGCUUAACUGCCAUUGGCUCUCGGCCUGGCGACUUCUGGGGACCACGUAAUGGGGAUGACAAUUGGGAUCCUGUGCCUUAAGCCGGCCAUUUACGUCCAUGGCUAUAUACCCCCGUACUAGGGCUAGUUAUGACGUAUAUAGGGAUCCACGAGAUCUCUUUUGAUGAAUGGGUUGUGCAGUGUUGAGAUCCGCGUGUAACGUCACUGUUUGGCCAGUCUGCCCUCAAACGGGUCAUCUUUACUCAUAUUUUAUUUACAUGAACGCUUUGCAUGGUCCAGUGGUUUAUAUAGACAUCUUCCUUGCACUAGCUAGUUUUAUGUGGCCAGGUUGAUUGCCUGUCAGCGCGGUCACGCUGUCGUCUUUCGAUUGGUGCGCUUAAAUGCGGCGAGAUGAAUAUAGGAUUUCCUUUGAUGCUA
Long non-coding RNA from Amphibalanus amphitrite, 1405 nucleotides. RefSeq lists it as uncharacterized. The record is from RefSeq and is a predicted model, not a curated record. The transcript is spliced from 3 exons. NCBI's taxonomy places the organism in Eukaryota, Metazoa, Arthropoda, Thecostraca, Balanomorpha, Balanidae.